CCUACGGGAGGCAGCAGUGAGGAAUAUUGGUCAAUGGGCGCGAGCCUGAACCAGCCAAGUCGCGUGAGGGAGGACGGCCCUACGGGUUGUAAACCUCUUUUGCCGGGGAGCAACGGGCGCCACGUGUGGCGUCACUGAGAGUACCCGGAGAAAAAGCAUCGGCUAACUCCGUGCCAGCAGCCGCGGUAAUACGGAGGGUGCGAGCGUUAUCCGGUUUUAUUGGGGUUAAAGGGUGCGUAGGCGGAUCGUUAAGUCAGUGCUCAAAUUGAGGGGCUCAACCCCUUCCCGCCAUUGAAACUGGCGUUCUUGAGUGGAAGAGAGGUAUGCGGAAUGCGUGGUGUAGCGGUGAAAUGCGUAGAUAUCACGCAGAACCCCGAUUGCGAAGGCAGCAUGCCGGCUUCCGACUGACGCUGAAGCACGAAAGCGUGGGGAUCGAACAGGAUUAGAUACCCCUGUAGUC
RNAcentral lists this ribosomal RNA (460 nucleotides) under uncultured bacterium. Its description in RNAcentral is "partial 16S ribosomal RNA". It matches the Rfam family "Bacterial small subunit ribosomal RNA", at positions 338 to 795 of the family's 1533-position model. The record is from RNAcentral.